RNAcentral lists this ribosomal RNA (484 nucleotides) under uncultured bacterium. RNAcentral describes it as "partial 16S ribosomal RNA". It matches the Rfam family "Bacterial small subunit ribosomal RNA", at positions 30 to 507 of the family's 1533-position model. The record is from RNAcentral.
AUUGAACGCUGGCGGCAUGCUUUACACAUGCAAGUCGAACGGCAGCGCGGGCUUCGGCCUGUCGUCGAGUGGCGAACGGGUGAGUAAUACAUCGGAACGUGCCCAGUUGCGGGUGAUAGCUCGGCGAAAGCCGGAUUAAUACCGCAUACGACCUUAGGGUGAAAGGGGGGGAUCUUCGGACCUUCCGCUAUUGCGCGAGCCGAUGGCAGAUUAGCUAGUUGGUGGGGUAAAGGCCUACCAAGGCGACGAUCUGUAGCUGGUCUGAGAGGACGACCAGCCACACUGGGACUGAGACACGGCCCAGACUCCUACGGGAGGCAGCAGUGGGGAAUAUUGGACAAUGGGCGAAAGCCUGAUCCAGCAAUGCCGCGUGUGUGAUGAAGGCCUUCGGGUUGUAAAGCACUUUUGGCGGGAACGAAAAGGACUGUGCCAAUACCACGGUUCGAUGACGGUACCCGAAGAAUAAGCACCGGCUAACUACGUG